RNAcentral lists this ribosomal RNA (301 nucleotides) under uncultured bacterium. RNAcentral's name for it is "partial 16S ribosomal RNA". It matches the Rfam family "Bacterial small subunit ribosomal RNA", at positions 509 to 808 of the family's 1533-position model. The record is from RNAcentral.
CAGUCGCCGCGGGAAUACGUAGGGUGCGAGCGUUAAUCGGAAUUACUGGGCGUAAAGCGUGCGCAGGCGGUUAUGUAAGACAGGUGUGAAAUCCCCGGGCUUAACCUGGGAACUGCGCUUGUGACUGCACAGCUAGAGUAUGGCAGAGGGGGGUGGAAUUCCACGUGUAGCAGUGAAAUGCGUAGAGAUGUGGAGGAACACCGAUGGCGAAGGCAGCCCCUGGGCCAAUACUGACGCUCAUGCACGAAAGCGUGGGGAGCAAACAGGAUUAGAUACCCCAGUAGUCCCUGUCUCUUAUACA